Molecule: small RNA, 533 nt
Filed under: Pongo abelii (Sumatran orangutan)
Lineage: Eukaryota; Metazoa; Chordata; Mammalia; Primates; Hominidae
Description: processed transcript
Source: RNAcentral
UAGUCUGGCUCCGGCGCCGCCCGUCGCUGACUCGUCCUCGCUGCAGUCGCCGCCGCCGCCGCCGCCGCCGCCGCCGCCGCCGCCGCCGCCGCCGCCGCCGCCGCCGCCGCCGCUCCUCCGCCUGGCCCGGGCCGUCUGCCCGCAGCCAUGAGCGUGCUCGGCCCCGGUGGAGCCCGCAGUCCUCUAGAUUAGUCUCCACCGCCGUCCAGGACCCGCUUGCAGCAUGGAGUCGCCCGCCUCGAGCCAGCCCGCCAGCAUGCCCCAGUCCAAAGGAGCAGCAGCACUGGCUUGUCGACAGUGCAGGUGGCCGGCAAUGGCCUUGCUGACCUCGAGCCGGGCCCACGUGGGGACCUUUGGAGCACAGCCCACGAUCCUAGUGCGAGGAAUGUCCCAUUCUUCUGAUGCUCUGGGAGGGCUGAGCAUCACUUGUGGGUCCCCCUGCCCUGUCAUGGCCUCUUAAAGCCUGAGCAUUGGGCCUGGGGCCAGAGUCCCACCGAUCUGACCCGUUUUGUGCCGGGGAUUUUGUGUGCAUG